CGCGUAGGCGGCCGAUCAAGUCGGAGGUGAAAUCCCUCGGCUCAACUGAGGAAUUGCCUUCGAUACUGUUCGGCUUGAGUCCUGGAGAGGGUAGUGGAAUUCCCGGUGUAGCGGUGAAAUGCGUAGAGACCGGGAAGAACACCAGUGGCGAAGGCGAGUCUCUGGACAGUUACUGACACUGAGGCACGAAGGGCCAGGGAGGCAAACG
Molecule: ribosomal RNA, 208 nt
Filed under: uncultured bacterium
Lineage: Bacteria
Description: partial 16S ribosomal RNA
Rfam family: Bacterial small subunit ribosomal RNA
Source: RNAcentral